CUGCCCAGGUGGGAAAAGAAGUGGUCCAUCAGAACGCAUAAUCUUAUCUGCUUCAAUCCUAGCAGUAUCAAGUGAACCCUUCAGAGCCACAAGCUGGUCUUCAUCUUUAGCUCCACAGAAUUCCUCUAAAUCACUGAUAAAACCUUCAAGAGCACGAUAUGGAGAGUAAACAAUUAGAUCAAAUCCUAGACUCUGGAAAACCAGCAUCUCAUUGUUGAGGAUUACAUGAUGAUCCUGUCCAAUACCCUUCCCAAG
This 255-nucleotide unclassified non-coding RNA is filed under the name Hevea brasiliensis (rubber tree). Lineage: Eukaryota; Viridiplantae; Streptophyta; Magnoliopsida; Malpighiales; Euphorbiaceae. The record is from RNAcentral.